Molecule: ribosomal RNA, 347 nt
Filed under: uncultured bacterium
Lineage: Bacteria
Description: partial 16S ribosomal RNA
Rfam family: Bacterial small subunit ribosomal RNA
Source: RNAcentral
GGGGAAUAUUGGACAAUGGGGGCAACCCUGAUCCAGCAAUGCCGCGUGUGUGAAGAAGGUCUUCGGAUUGUAAAGCACUUUCGACGGGGACGAUGAUGACGGUACCCGUAGAAGAAGCCCCGGCUAACUUCGUGCCAGCAGCCGCGGUAAUACGAAGGGGGCUAGCGUUGCUCGGAAUGACUGGGCGUAAAGGGCGUGUAGGCGGUUUACACAGUCAGAUGUGAAAUCCCCGGGCUUAACCUGGGAGCUGCAUUUGAUACGUGUAGACUAGAGUGUGAGAGAGGGUUGUGGAAUUCCCAGUGUAGAGGUGAAAUUCGUAGAUAUUGGGAAGAACACCGGUGGCGAAG